UGGCUCAGUGGUAGAGCGCUUGCCUUGCAUGCUUGAGGCCCUGGGUUCGAUUCCCCAG
This 58-nucleotide transfer RNA is filed under the name Dipodomys ordii (Ord's kangaroo rat). It matches the Rfam family "tRNA", at positions 8 to 63 of the family's 71-position model. Rfam says of the family: Transfer RNA (tRNA) molecules are approximately 80 nucleotides in length. The record is from Rfam by way of RNAcentral. Lineage: Eukaryota; Metazoa; Chordata; Mammalia; Rodentia; Heteromyidae.